Molecule: transfer RNA, 79 nt
Filed under: Podarcis lilfordi (Lilford's wall lizard)
Lineage: Eukaryota; Metazoa; Chordata; Lepidosauria; Squamata; Lacertidae
Description: tRNA.Thr
Source: RNAcentral
GCCAGUGUGGUUUAGUGGUUAAGAGCGGUAGACUCGUAAUCUGGUGAAGUGGGUUCGCUUCCCCGCUCCUCCACAUGCA